AUACAGGGAGAAAACAGCCAUCUACAAGCCCAGGAGAGAGGAAAUCAACCCUAAUGACACCUUGAUCUAGGACUUCUGGCCUCCAGAACUAUGGGAAACGUUCCCUGCAAGGCAAAAACGCCCCUAAGAUGUAUUCUGGAGAAUUCGGCCCAGUCAGAGUUUUGUCUCUUCCAGAAUCGAAGCUGUAAAACUACAAAUGGUUCUUCAAAUGGAGCCCCAGGUGCAGUCCAUGACUAAGA
Long non-coding RNA from Pan troglodytes (chimpanzee), 239 nucleotides. RefSeq lists it as uncharacterized. NCBI's taxonomy places the organism in Eukaryota, Metazoa, Chordata, Mammalia, Primates, Hominidae. The transcript is spliced from 3 exons. The record is from RefSeq and is a predicted model, not a curated record.